Molecule: ribosomal RNA, 439 nt
Filed under: uncultured bacterium
Lineage: Bacteria
Description: partial 16S ribosomal RNA
Rfam family: Bacterial small subunit ribosomal RNA
Source: RNAcentral
CUACGGGCCGCACCAGUGAGGAAUAUUGCACAAUGGGGGGAACCCUGAUGCAGCAACGCCGCGUGGAGGAUGACGCAUUUCGGUGUGUAAACUCCUUUUAUAUGUCAAGAAAAUGACGGUAGCAUAUGAAUAAGCACCGGCUAACUCCGUGCCAGCAGCCGCGGUAAUACGGAGGGUGCAAGCGUUACUCGGAAUCACUGGGCGUAAAGGAUGCGUAGGCGGGUUGGAAAGUCAGGUGUGAAAUCCUACAGCUUAACUGUAGAACUGCACUUGAAACUUCUAAUCUAGAGUAUGGGAGGGGGAGAUGGAAUUAGUGGUGUAGGGGUAAAAUCCGUAGAUAUCACUAGGAAUACCUAAAGCGAAGGCGAUCUCCUGGAACAUUACUGACGCUAAUGCGUGAAAGCGUGGGGAGCAAACAGGAUUAGAUACCCUCGUAGUC